GACGAACGCUGGCGGCGUGCUUAACACAUGCAAGACGAACGAUGAACCCGGAGCUUGCUCCGGUGGAUUAGUGGCGAACGGGUGAGUAACACGUGAGUAACCUGCCCUUGACUCUGGGAUAACUGCGGGAAACUGUAGCUAAUACCGAAUACGACCCUCGGCGGCAUCGCCAGGGGGUGGAAAGAAUUUCGGUCAAGGAUGGACUCGCGGCCUAUCAGCUAGUUGGUGAGGCAACGGCUCACCAAGGCGACGACGGGUAGCCGGCCUGAGAGGGUGACCGGCCACACUGGGACUGAGACACGGCCCAGACUCCUACGGGAGGCAGCAGUGGGGAAUAUUGCACAAUGGGCGCAAGCCUGAUGCAGCAACGCCGCGUGAGGGAUGACGGCCUUCGGGUUGUAAACCUCUUUUAGCACCGACGAAGCGCAAGUGACGGUAGGUGCAGAAGAAGGACCGGCCAACUACGUGCCAGCCGCCGCAGUAA
RNAcentral lists this ribosomal RNA (484 nucleotides) under uncultured bacterium. RNAcentral's name for it is "partial 16S ribosomal RNA". It matches the Rfam family "Bacterial small subunit ribosomal RNA", at positions 28 to 523 of the family's 1533-position model. The record is from RNAcentral.